RNAcentral lists this unclassified non-coding RNA (1075 nucleotides) under Hevea brasiliensis (rubber tree). Lineage: Eukaryota; Viridiplantae; Streptophyta; Magnoliopsida; Malpighiales; Euphorbiaceae. The record is from RNAcentral.
GAUUUUUCAAUUCAAUUUGGUUCCUUAAGAACCGUGCACAACCCAUCAAGCAGUGGCAUCUUGCACUUCAAUUAACAAAACAAUCAAAACUCAAGUGCAAAUACAGUUUAUAGAGUCGACCAUCAAGAUCAGUUCGAAUGUUCCACCUAUUGCUCCCAUACAUCCAUCCAAUUCCUCCUCCCAUGAUCUCUCGUCCAUUAGUGGCUUUCCGCCGAGACUAUUCCAGGAUCAACUGGGGAUUAUGAAUUCUCGAAAGGAAGUUGAGUAGCAGGAGAGAGGAAGCAGAUGACUCAUGAUCAAACGACAAGUUGCGGCUCUUGCAGUGCUCACUAAUAACAUGGCUAUCAGAGUUCGUCUCUAGUGGUCAGGGGAACCAAUAAACGUUUUUUGAAAAGUGACUUGAUACCCAGCAUCUUACCUCACCGCCAAAUCUCUCAACACUAAUAAAUCAAUUCCAUAAAUGCCUAAUCUCUCAACAGCAUAAAUAUACAUAAAAUGGGCAUUGAUGGUGACGGAUGGAGAGUGGCUGCAUGCGAUAUCUGUGAAGGGUGGCAGCACACUCGUUGCAAUGGCAUUGAGGACUUCAGGAUUAUGCCUCUGCUUUUCAUUUGUACAGGAUGCUGUGAUUCUCUCGGGCACUUGGGAUUGUGACUUUGGGAUUAACAGCAAAUUGAGCUUAUUAAGCACCUUCUUUCUAUGCUCUUACUCUGCCACUGAGGAGCUAAAACCCUUAGAUUUACCUUUAACCCUUAUCCUCCUCUCCUCCUGUUAAUUGGACUAGGCUUUGGUUUAGAUCUCAUCCUAUCAAAGGCUUUAAUUAGGUCGGCGGUUAAUGGAGAAAAUCGGUUCUAGAUUAAGAACAGAAGUUGUUUACCUCGCGCCAAUUAGCUCCAGUCGAAGCCCAACGCCUUUAGGAAUUACCUUCAGCAGAUCCUCAAGUACUAGUAGCACAAAUUUCUCCGCGAGUCUCAUGAAAUAAUUAUUCAACUGGUGUGAGGCCCAUAAGGUUAGACCAUUCGGACCAACAUGAUCUUUUCAGCUGUGCUUAUUGUUGCAGGAAAUAAUUAGUGUUUAC